Molecule: ribosomal RNA, 215 nt
Filed under: Serrivomer beanii (Bean's sawtoothed eel)
Lineage: Eukaryota; Metazoa; Chordata; Actinopteri; Anguilliformes; Serrivomeridae
Description: partial 12S ribosomal RNA
Rfam family: Bacterial small subunit ribosomal RNA
Source: RNAcentral
ACCCAAAGGACUUGGCGGUGCCUCAAACCCACCUAGAGGAGCCUGUUCUAUAACCGAUAACCCCCGUUAAACCUCACCACUCCUUGUUUAUCCAGCCUAUAUACCGCCGUCGCCAGCUUACCUCAUGAGAGACUAACAGUAAGCCAAAUGGGUAAUACCCAACACGUCAGGUCGAGGUGUAGCGAAUGAAGUGGGAAGAAAUGGGCUACAUUUUC